RNAcentral lists this ribosomal RNA (464 nucleotides) under uncultured bacterium. Its description in RNAcentral is "partial 16S ribosomal RNA". It matches the Rfam family "Bacterial small subunit ribosomal RNA", at positions 339 to 795 of the family's 1533-position model. The record is from RNAcentral.
CUACGGGGUGCACCAGUGGGGAAUAUUGGACAAUGGGCGAAAGCCUGAUCCAGCAAUGCCGCGUGUGUGAAGAAGGCCUGCGGGUUGUAAAGCACUUUCAGUCGGGAGGAAAAGGGGUUGGCGAAUAGCCGGCCUCGUUGACGUAACCGACAGAAGAAGCACCGGCUAACUCCGUGCCAGCAGCCGCGGUAAUACGGAGGGUGCGAGCGUUAAUCGGAAUUACUGGGCGUAAAGGGCGCGUAGGCGGCCGGAUCAGUCUGAUGUGAAAGCCCUGGGCUUAACCUGGGAGUGGCAUUGGAUACUGUCUGGCGAGAGUUUGAUAGCGGGGAGUGGAAUUUCCGGUGUAGCGGUGAAAUGCGUAGAGAUCGGAAGGAACACCAGUGGCGAAGGCGACUCCCUGGAUUAAAACUGACGCUGAGGUGCGAAAGCGUGGGUAGCAAACAGGAUUAGAUACCCGGGUAGUC